This 870-nucleotide ribosomal RNA is filed under the name uncultured bacterium. RNAcentral describes it as "bacterial SSU rRNA". It matches the Rfam family "Bacterial small subunit ribosomal RNA", at positions 588 to 1454 of the family's 1533-position model. The record is from RNAcentral.
UNUGCUGUGAAAGGCUGGGGCUUAACCCUGGUUUUGCAGUGGGUACGGGCUAACUAGAGUGCAGUAGGGGAGACUGGAAUUCCUGGUGUAGCGGUGGAAUGCGCAGAUAUCAGGAGGAACACCGAUGGCGAAGGCAGGUCUCUGGGCUGUAACUGACGCUGAGAAGCGAAAGCAUGGGGAGCGAACAGGAUUAGAUACCCUGGUAGUCCAUGCCGUAAACGUUGGGCACUAGGUGUGGGGGACAUUCCACGUUUUCCGCGCCGUAGCUAACGCAUUAAGUGCCCCGCCUGGGGAGUACGGCCGCAAGGCUAAAACUCAAAGAAAUUGACGGGGGCCCGCACAAGCGGCGGAGCAUGCGGAUUAAUUCGAUGCAACGCGAAGAACCUUACCAAGGCUUGACAUAUACUGGACUGCGUCAGAGAUGGCGUUUCCCUUCGGGGCUGGUAUACAGGUGGUGCAUGGUUGUCGUCAGCUCGUGUCGUGAGAUGUUGGGUUAAGUCCCGCAACGAGCGCAACCCUCGUUCUAUGUUGCCAGCACGUGAUGGUGGGGACUCAUAGGAGACUGCCGGGGUCAACUCGGAGGAAGGUGGGGAUGACGUCAAAUCAUCAUGCCCCUUAUGUCUUGGGCUUCACGCAUGCUACAAUGGCCGGUACAGAGGGUUGCGAUACUGUGAGGUGGAGCUAAUCCCUAAAAGCCGGUCUCAGUUCGGAUUGGGGUCUGCAACUCGACCCCAUGAAGUCGGAGUCGCUAGUAAUCGCAGAUCAGCAACGCUGCGGUGAAUACGUUCCCGGGCCUUGUACACACCGCCCGUCAAGUCACGAAAGUUGGUAACACCCGAAGCNGGUGGCCUAACCCUGGUGGGGGGAGCC